ACGCUCGACACCUACGGGAGACAACAGUGGGGAAUAUUGCACAAUGGGGGAAACCCUGAUGCAGCGACGCCGCGUGGAGGAAGAAGGUCUUCGGAUUGUAAACUCCUGUUGUUGGGGAAAAAGAGGAUGGUACCCAACAAGGAAGUGACGGCUAACUACGUGCCAGCAGCCGCGGUAAUCUGAGCGGGCUGGCAAGGC
RNAcentral lists this ribosomal RNA (198 nucleotides) under uncultured bacterium. RNAcentral's name for it is "partial 16S ribosomal RNA". It matches the Rfam family "Bacterial small subunit ribosomal RNA", at positions 328 to 539 of the family's 1533-position model. The record is from RNAcentral.